CCCUGUACAACUGCAUAUUGUAAAACUAAGACUAAAAUUUUCUAAUGAUAAAACAAUCUGGAAAGCUCAUUAAGCAGGUAAAAACACCUCAGGCAUUUAAGCCUUUCAUUAAUACUGAGUCCAUUGCUAAUUAUGCUGUAAUUUGGUUUAACUGCAUUGAAAGAUUUCAUGGAGUGCUGGAGUAGCUCAGGGGGUCAGGCGGCAUCUCAGGAGAACAUGGAUAGGUGACGUUCCAGAACUGAAACAUCGCCUGUCCGUGUCGCCUGAGAUGUUGCCUGACCCACUGAGGUACUCCAGCACUCUGUCAUUUUAGCAAACCAGCAUCUGCAGUUCAUUGUUUCUUCAUUUAACGAUUGUUUUUUUCCAAAUAUAAAUGGUUAAUUUGAAUCACCAUCACCAGCAAUCCAUUUAAUAAAGUUAGUGUUCAGAUAUCCAGGACCACUUUCCAUUAGGAGUUUGCAAUGCUUUAAAUCACAAUUUAUUUUGUUUAGCUGGAAUAGACUGUGGUUUUUUUCUGUGUGGGAUGGUUUGUAAAUGUUGCUUCAUGCCAUGAUUAACCAAUAAAUAUAUAAUUUCUGUAGAGAGAAAGUGUCCAACUCAUUAAACUCAGUAACUUGUGA
Long non-coding RNA from Amblyraja radiata (thorny skate), 620 nucleotides. RefSeq lists it as uncharacterized. The transcript has 3 exons. Lineage: Eukaryota; Metazoa; Chordata; Chondrichthyes; Rajiformes; Rajidae. The record is from RefSeq and is a predicted model, not a curated record.